CUUCAGCUGGUUCACAUCAAUCAGUCCUGGUCUUCUGAGAUCAAACCAUGCUGGCCGUACUGGCUUGUGAUCAGCCCGCUUUGGAAUCCUUGUGAGUGGUAUGAUAGUUUCACCAAUAAUCUCAUCUUUGUUUUGUGCUACACGGUCUUCAAUUCUUAUGAUCAAGUCUUCCUCAAAAGGCUCUGCUGCGACAAACAUCAUCUCUUCAUUCCACAUGAAGUUUUUGGUUGGUGAGCGAACUUGCCUUGUCUUCAACAAUUGGUUGCCCAGCCUCACUUUUACAAAUACAUCAGGUAUGUGGUUCUCCAUUGGGAAUAUAUCCUGUGCCUCAAUUACAUUGACCCUCACGUACCACAUUCUUGGUGCAGGGUAGACCUUCCCACGGAUAUAAUUGUGAAGAUGGGAAUCAACUGGCGUUGAUCCUGCAUGGAUGGCGCUUGGGAAGCAUUCAUCUGCUUGAGUACCAUACCAGACUGCAAGCAUCAACUCUCCUCUGUCCCUCAUUCCAUCCUUGCCC
RNAcentral lists this long non-coding RNA (517 nucleotides) under Setaria viridis. Its description in RNAcentral is "long non-coding RNA (SVIR_LNC002364)". The record is from RNAcentral. Lineage: Eukaryota; Viridiplantae; Streptophyta; Magnoliopsida; Poales; Poaceae.